GUAUGAUACAAUUAAGCUUAUUAGCUUUGAAUUUUAGUUUAUAUAUAUAUAUAGAUAUUCUUAACUUAUUGAGUUGUGCAUGAUGCAUUAAGACCUUUCUCCAGACACUUAAGAUUGUACUUUUGUUUUGGAUUAUCUAGUUUCACAGGAUCUUAUAUGAUGCAUUAAGACCUUUCUUUGGACACUUGAUAUUGUAUUUAGUUUAGUAUUAUGGAAUAAAGUUCAAAUGUGCCCCUCAACUUUUUCACGAUGUUCAAAUAAGCUCAUUUGAAGUUUUUUGUCCUAAACUCCUAAUUAAUAGCCAAAAUUUUGAUUUAAGACCAAAUUUAUCCUUCAACUGACAAAAAAUAGAGAGAUACAUGCCUAUUAAUAUUAAUAUUAAAAAAAAGAUAACAAAUAAUUUUUUAUUUUCUGCUUUAAAUUAAUAAAAAAAGGAAAAAAAAAUCUAAGAACUUAGAACAAGAACCAUAAGACAACAAAUGGAUGAACUCAAAAUUAAUCUUUGUAGUUUAUAUCACAACUAAUUAUUCAAAAAUACUAGGAAUUAAAAAUUAUUAACAACCAAAACAAAAGUUAGAAUUAGAAAUUGAACACUAUAGAAAAAAGAAAUUGAAAAUGCUUGAACUCUUCAGUUGUAGCAGUCAAUGCUAAAUAUAACCUUGAGCCCUUCCAGAAGUUUUAGUUGUGGGUUCUUGGAUGAGAAGACAAUGCUGUUAACCAAGGUCUUUAUUCUAUCAGAUUUAAACAAGCAGAAGUACCAUUCAAUCAGAGCCUAAACCAAAAUCACUUGCUUUAUAUGCAAGGCAUUGCCAAUGAGUUCUACCACACGUGAAGGCUUGUUAGUAACUGAUCAAUGUUGGUGCGUCAGUGUCGCUGAAUCCACAAAGUUAAGGGGCUAUGCAAUGAUAACCAAGGGAAAAGAGAGAGAGAGAGAG
This 935-nucleotide unclassified non-coding RNA is filed under the name Hevea brasiliensis (rubber tree). The record is from RNAcentral. Lineage: Eukaryota; Viridiplantae; Streptophyta; Magnoliopsida; Malpighiales; Euphorbiaceae.